UAGAAGUUUUGAUCAUUUUUCACUCCUGAGUCAUAUAAGCUGUUCCACACCUUCCAAUGUGGUCCACAUAUUAGCUGUGUCAGCAUUGUAUUUUCUUCCCCCUGGAACCAAAAUUUAGCAAUAAACUCCAGAGGCAAAGUGGCGUAUAGUUAAUGGCAUUCAAUCUAAGCUUAUUGCACAUCGACCUUGAAUGCUGCCAAGUCUCUAACAUGUGCUGACAAUACUGGCAUCGUUGCUAAGCUACCUAUUAUUAAUCUUUGCAAGGAAAAAUGAAGAGGUCAGAAUGUGUUGAAGGUGUGUUUAUUAGGGAGCUCUGAUGGAGGAUCUCAUUUGAAAGCCUGGAUAUUUCACCCUGUUUACUGUUCAGAAAAACGUCACAUUUUUGUAAUUAUUUUAAACUGUUCAGUAUUCACAAUUUGGGGCAGUGACUGCAUCUUAACUUAAAAGAGAGGGAGAGAAAAAUAAAUAAAUAACUAUAAAAUUUAAACAACGUGUGUCCACAAUCAGGACAAUCAUAACUGGAUGUUCCAGUGACUAGUGACUGUCAGAAAAUUCUCCAUACUUACUACCUAUCUGUUCUUCUGACUUGUUUUUUUUUUUCUUUUUUAAGGGAUCAAAGUUGGAUAAAGAAACAAGGCACAUUCUAUUUAUCAAUAAAUCAUCAAGAACUGACACAAAGCCCAAUGAAUGGGACGUGUGCACACACACAACAUGAAAAGGGGAACUCAGAGUCCUUUGAAAGAAGAAAAGGCCAGGAUAAGAGCAAAAACUGCCCUGGUGUCACUUCCCCACAAAGUAAAGUGAUGUGGGAGGCAAAGAGGAGGUGGAGUGUACGUUUUCAAAGAGAUGUGAACAAGUGGGAGCUUUGUAAUUUGCAAGAUGCAGAUAAAUAAUUGUCUGAUGUUGACUUCAUCGAUUCAAGCCCAUAGAGAAUGCACUAGAUAAUGUGCAAUUUGAAAAGUGUGUUGAAUCUUGACAACAAUAGGAGGAUCACACACAAUCUAUGUAUUUCUGUAUCCGUUGUUUGGUCCACUCUAGUAAUCAAGUAUUUUGCUAAAUCUGAAAUAUAUGGGUUCAAAUAAGUUGUUAAAUGGUAUUGUUGACACUUUGUGAAAUUUAUGUGCAUGGUCCAUAGUUCCAUGUAUCAAAAAACCCUAAGCUUUGUAGCUGUUCAUCUUUAUAGCAGACACACUCAGACCAAUGGAUAAUAGAAAAAAAACUGGCAGUAUGUCAGCAGGGAAAGAUGCCAUUUACCAACUUAAAAUGAAAGAUAAACCAACAGCAAAUUGCUCUGAAAACUCAGGAUUGGUGUGGGAGGACUCAUUGUGCCUAACUCCUCACACACACAAGCAUUACAAAUUUGAAAGUUCAUCUUGAACUUGAAUGUUUAGCUUAGGAAAGCAGGUGAGGAGAAAAAACAUUCUCCCCCCUGCCCCCAAAAAGUGAAAAGUAAUCCUAUAGAAAAAUAAAGGAAACAUGAAUAUAACA
Molecule: long non-coding RNA, 1488 nt
Filed under: Chrysemys picta bellii (western painted turtle)
Lineage: Eukaryota; Metazoa; Chordata; Testudines; Emydidae
Description: lncRNA (ENSCPBG00000000612.1)
Source: RNAcentral